GCGAGCGUGAUGGAAUGGUAGACAUGUCGGGUUUAGACUCCGGUGACUGUGGGUCGUGUGGGUUCAAGUCCCGCCGCUCGUA
Molecule: transfer RNA, 82 nt
Filed under: Sphingobacteriales bacterium
Lineage: Bacteria; Pseudomonadati; Bacteroidota; Sphingobacteriia; Sphingobacteriales
Description: tRNA-Leu
Rfam family: tRNA
About the family: Transfer RNA (tRNA) molecules are approximately 80 nucleotides in length. Their secondary structure includes four short double-helical elements and three loops (D, anti-codon, and T loops).
Source: RNAcentral